GACGAACGCUGGCGGCGUGCUUAACACAUGCAAGUCGAACGCUGAAGCUUGGUGCUUGCACUGGGUGGAUGAGUGGCGAACGGGUGAGUAAUACGUGAGUAACCUGCCCUUGACUCUGGGAUAAGCCUGGGAAACUGGGUCUAAUACUGGAUAUGACAUGCCACCGCAUGGUGGUGUGUGGAAAGGGUUUUACUGGUUUUGGAUGGGCUCACGGCCUAUCAGCUUGUUGGUGGGGUAAUGGCCUACCAAGGCGACGACGGGUAGCCGGCCUGAGAGGGUGACCGGCCACACUGGGACUGAGACACGGCCCAGACUCCUACGGGAGGCAGCAGUGGGGAAUAUUGCACAAUGGGCGGAAGCCUGAUGCAGCGACGCCGCGUGAGGGAUGACGGCCUUCGGGUUGUAAACCUCUUUCAGCACGGAAGAAGCGAGAGUGACGGUACGUGCAGAAGAAGCGCCGGCUAACUACGUG
This 472-nucleotide ribosomal RNA is filed under the name uncultured bacterium. Its description in RNAcentral is "partial 16S ribosomal RNA". It matches the Rfam family "Bacterial small subunit ribosomal RNA", at positions 28 to 507 of the family's 1533-position model. The record is from RNAcentral.